This is a non-coding RNA of Helianthus annuus (common sunflower), 80 nucleotides long. NCBI's taxonomy places the organism in Eukaryota, Viridiplantae, Streptophyta, Magnoliopsida, Asterales, Asteraceae. The record is from Rfam.
AGCUCUAUGAUUGAAUGCCAUUUUAGGCAAUAUACACUAUUCCGAUUGUUAUCGACGGAAAAUAUAGUUGAAUGAGAGCU